Dermochelys coriacea (leatherback sea turtle) is the source of this 1140-nucleotide long non-coding RNA. RefSeq lists it as uncharacterized. The transcript is spliced from 2 exons. The record is from RefSeq and is a predicted model, not a curated record. Lineage: Eukaryota; Metazoa; Chordata; Testudines; Dermochelyidae.
CCCAGCAGGUGCUGCUAAAUACUUUAUCCCCUUUGGGUCUGAAGAUGCCACUUGUGUAAUGAGAGGAGAUCCAAUUACAGGGUUAUCCAAUUUACCUUCCCAAAAGCUUGCAGGGUCAAACCCAGGCUCUGGGUCAGAACAUUGCGGAGAAGUGUAGACUCAGGUCUGAACCACACAGCUGGCAAAGAGCAGCACACGCAGAACUCUCCACUUCAGAGCUACCACAAGAAACGCUUGUUAAAUUGGAGCAGGGUUUUCCAAAGCCAGGUAGGUAAGCACAUAUUCCUUUAUCUUACCGCUCUGAGUCUGGAGUUAGGUCAGUUUUGGGGGCAGAGUUCAGUUCCUGUUCCAUAAAGAAACAGAAGCUUCCAGACUUAUGGCCUGCCAAGCACUCAGCAUUUGUGUAUGACGUGAAUUAGUCUCUUCCUUGUCCUUCAUAACCGGUAACUGUGGAACAUCGGGCCAUGAGGUCUAUGGCCAGUAUAUUAUCAGGCUUCCCCUAAUGUUAGCUUCCAGACCUUGAUUAUGACGGCUUAUUUAGCCAUAUUAUCAUCAUCAUUAUUUGAAUUCCCGGAGCAUCUAGAGGCCUCCGGUCAGGAUCAGGGCCCCACUGUGUUGAUGACGUUGAACAAAUAACAGUCCCUACCCCAGACAGUUCUCAGUCUCAGAACUCACUGCCGCCUCCUUCAUCUUGAAAUCUCAAAGGCCUCUGUUGUCUGGAGAGACAGAGGCCAUUUUGUGUUUAAAAUUGGUGUGUGUUUCACUGCUUUCCCACUUGCACCUGACGUGAAAUGUGCCUCACCAUUUAGGUCCUUGCUGAGUUGGACUGUCUCCUGUGCCGUCCAGCUGUUGCUCGCGAAAUAAGGAGGAGCUACAUUUCAAAAUUCACUUAAAAGCAAUAUCAAAAAACCCGGAAAGGCUUUGAUCUUUCUAAAUAUUCCCUUUGUUCUGUCAUUCGGCAAUUCCUGUGUGCUUCAAAGGUAAGGUAACAAUCCACUCUCUGUACUCUUCCCUGAACUGUGGUCAUAAACUCACCCCUGAAAUACAGUUUAAAUAACCCAGAGCCCUACAACCUUCAAAUCAAGUAAAGAAGAUCUUUCCACUAUUCAUUUUGUUAGAUUAAUAAAAGGCUACAAUUUU